UGGGUUGUAGCUCAGUGGUUGAGCAUUUGCCUGGCAUGCAAGAGGCCCUGGUUUGAUCCCCAGCCCAA
RNAcentral lists this transfer RNA (68 nucleotides) under Urocitellus parryii (Arctic ground squirrel). RNAcentral's name for it is "Spermophilus parryii (Arctic ground squirrel) tRNA". It matches the Rfam family "tRNA". Rfam says of the family: Transfer RNA (tRNA) molecules are approximately 80 nucleotides in length. Lineage: Eukaryota; Metazoa; Chordata; Mammalia; Rodentia; Sciuridae. RNAcentral also lists the same sequence under 1 other name. The record is from Rfam by way of RNAcentral.